This is a long non-coding RNA of Sinocyclocheilus anshuiensis, 91 nucleotides long. RefSeq lists it as uncharacterized. The record is from RefSeq and is a predicted model, not a curated record. The transcript has 3 exons. NCBI's taxonomy places the organism in Eukaryota, Metazoa, Chordata, Actinopteri, Cypriniformes, Cyprinidae.
GAGAGAAUCUGUUCAUCAGCUGAGAGACAAACUGGAGGAUUUCUGCAAAGAGCCGCUCAAGAAGAUCUCAGACAGAGAAACACUAACCAGC